CCUUGUGCUCCUGGAGCGGCCGAUAUCUGAUUAGCUAGUUGGUGAGGUAAAGGCUCACCAAGGCAACGAUCAGUAGCUGGUCUGAGAGGACGACCAGCCACACUGGAACUGAGACACGGUCCAGACUCCUACGGGAGGCAGCAGUGGGGAAUUUUGGACAAUGGGGGCAACCCUGAUCCAGCAAUGCCGCGUGAGUGAAGAAGGCCUUCGGGUUGUAAAGCUCUUUUGUCAGGGAAGAAAAGGUCGUGGCUAAUAUCCACGACUGCUGACGGUACCUGAAGAAUAAGCACCGGCUAACUACGUGCCAGCAGCCGCGGUAAUACGUAGGGUGCAAGCGUUAAUCGGAAUUACUGGGCGUAAAGCGUGCGCAGGCGGUUUCGUAAGUCUGUCGUGAAAUCCCCGGGCUUAACCUGGGAAUGGCGAUGGAGACUGCGAGGCUAGAGUUUGGCAGAGGGGGGUAGAAUUCCACGUGUAGCAGUGAAAUGCGUAGAGAUGUGGAGGAACACCGAUGGCGAAGGCAGCCCCCUGGGUCAAAACUGACGCUCAUGCACGAAAGCGUGGGGAGCAAACAGGAUUAGAUACCCUGGUAGUCCACGCCCUAAACGAUGUCUACUAGUUGUUGGGUCUUAAUUGACUUAGUAACGCAGCUAACGCGUGAAGUAGACCGCCUGGGGAGUACGGUCGCAAGAUUAAAACUCAAAGGAAUUGACGGGGACCCGCACAAGCGGUGGAUGAUGUGGAUUAAUUCGAUGCAACGCGAAAAACCUUACCUACCCUUGACAUGGCAGGAAUCCCGGAGAGAU
Molecule: ribosomal RNA, 803 nt
Filed under: Massilia eburnea
Lineage: Bacteria; Pseudomonadati; Pseudomonadota; Betaproteobacteria; Burkholderiales; Oxalobacteraceae
Description: bacterial SSU rRNA
Rfam family: Bacterial small subunit ribosomal RNA
Source: RNAcentral